This 218-nucleotide long non-coding RNA is filed under the name Hordeum vulgare. RNAcentral's name for it is "long non-coding RNA (HVUL_LNC005412)". Lineage: Eukaryota; Viridiplantae; Streptophyta; Magnoliopsida; Poales; Poaceae. The record is from RNAcentral.
UAUAUGACACGUAGCACUUCAUUUCUUGUUUCUUGUUUCCCGUUGAUCCGUACCUCCGUUUGUAACGUUCUUUAUAUGGUUUUGCAUCGUUUUCACGUGACUCAUAUGUUCAUGUAAUCCUCAUGCAUGUCAAGUUAGCAUACGGUGCAGUUCUAUCCAGUAACAUGUAUUUACUUCUCAUGCUUGUGCUAGUGAUAGAAGUAGAGAUGCAUGUUCAU